AUGACUCACCGGCCGCCGACGGGGCCGUCACCACGGCCGCCUCGCCUCGUGCCCCGCCCGCAGAGGGUCGCGCUUGGUCAGCGGCCGAAUCGAGCGAGGCUGAGCCAUGUCGGGAUCCGGCAGCCGCGGCUGGGGCGCUCGCCUCGUGCCCCGCCGCGGAGGCUCGCGCUUGGUCAGCGGUCGAAUCGAGCGAGGCCGAGCCAUGGCGGCAUCCGGCAGCCGCAGCCGGGGCGCUCGCCUCGUGCCCGCCCGCGGAGGCUCGUCGACGUGGUGGCGACGGUUAUCGCCGCCGCCUUCGGCACCAUCCCAGCUCGCAGCCUCGGUCGAUUUGCUCUGCGUCUCCAACCGUCCAAAGAUCCCAACCCUAUCAUCGUCUCCUACCACGAGCUCGGCGACAAGAUCGAGGCAAGUUCGGCUCCGUUCGGAUCUAUGCCGUUCAAGAGGUUCGUGCUGAUCGGGCGGGUGGCCCUGGUGAACUACGGCAAGGACUACAGCCGCCUUGUCGUCAUCGUCGACGUUGUUGACCAGAACAGAAACGUCGAGGACACGGUCCACCGCGAGGUCGAGAUCAUGCAACACCUCUCGGGCCACCCUGCCGUCGUCACGCUGAAGGCCGUCUGCAGCGGCUGCAAAUCGAAGACGUAUGGGUUCUCGUCAAAUGCAAGCUGUAGUACUGUGAAAAAGUGUACUAAUUUUUUGCAGUGCAUUAACUUGAUCAUGGGAUUCUCCGUGAUGGCAGCAAAGAGACAACAUGGGGUGGAGAUGCAGGUCGUCAGUACACUGAAGGCGUUGCGUUCUGUCGGGGUGUUGGGUUCGAUGCAGAGCAUCGGAGACGUUGCCGUUAUCUCUGCAACUGCAACUCAAUGGGGAGACGCCAGUGAUCAAGCGGCAGCGGCCUACAGCCUGGGAGACCUGCACAAGGGAGCCGCCAAGAUCUCCAACGACAUCCUCGACUAUGUCGGGGUUGAGUGCCCAACAUUCCCGAAGAUGGCACCCAAGACAUGUCCGCAGCCAGAACCAGCGAAGUUGCCGUACAAGAAGCUGGGAGAUUCAGAUCUCCUUAUUAGCGAGACAACUCUUGGAAUAAUGAUCUUUGGAGAGCAAAGCACAGAGAAGGAAUCCCAUGAUAUGCUCUCUUAUUCUUUUAAUCAGACAUGUAAUUUAGAGAAAGAGGGAGGAAAGAACUCCUCGGUUGUAGUUCAGAUCAUCGGCCUGCUGUGA
RNAcentral lists this ribosomal RNA (1221 nucleotides) under Triticum aestivum (bread wheat). RNAcentral's name for it is "partial small subunit ribosomal RNA". The record is from RNAcentral. Lineage: Eukaryota; Viridiplantae; Streptophyta; Magnoliopsida; Poales; Poaceae.